UGGGGAAUUUUGGACAAUGGGCGAAAGCCUGAUCCAGCAAUGCCGCGUGUGUGAAGAAGGCCUUCGGGUUGUAAAGCACUUUUGUCCGGAAAGAAAUCCUUGGCUCUAAUACAGUCGGGGGAUGACGGUACCGGAAGAAUAAGCACCGGCUAACUACGUGCCAGCAGCCGCGGUAAUACGUAGGGUGCAAGCGUUAAUCGGAAUUACUGGGCGUAAAGCGUGCGCAGGCGGUUUGCUAAGACCGAUGUGAAAUCCCCGGGCUCAACCUGGGAACUGCAUUGGUGACUGGCAGGCUAGAGUAUGGCAGAGGGGGGUAGAAUUCCACGUGUAGCAGUGAAAUGCGUAGAGAUGUGGAGGAAUACCGAUGGCGAAGGCAGCCCCCUGGGCCAAUACUGACGCUCAUGCACGAAAGCGUGGGGAGCAAACAGGAUUAGAUACCCUGGUAGUCCACGCCCUAAAACGAUGUCAACUAGUUGUUGGGGAUUCAUUUCCUUAGUAACGUAGCCAACGCGUGAAGUUGACCGCCUGGGGAGUACGGUCGCAAGAUUAAAACUUAAAGGAAUUGACGGGGUCAUAGCUGUUUCCU
Molecule: ribosomal RNA, 586 nt
Filed under: uncultured bacterium
Lineage: Bacteria
Description: partial 16S ribosomal RNA
Rfam family: Bacterial small subunit ribosomal RNA
Source: RNAcentral